AACAAUUGGACCUACUGUGCCGUCUAUCUACCUUGACAAGCGAGUGGAAAAUGACCACGAUUAUGGCUUCCAUUUCUAUAAACCACAAAACGAAAGCUGUCUGAAGUGGGCAACAAGGAUACCGACUCUGUGGUGUAUGUCUCAUUUAGAAGUGCUGCAGUUUUAAAUGUGCAGCAGAUGGCAAAAAUGGUGGAGGCCCUAAGGAAAAACAACAACUACUACUUAUGGGUGGUGAGGUCAAGUGAAGAGGACAAGCUUCCAAGUGAUUUUGUGAAGGAUACGUCAGAAAAGGGAUUGGUGGUGACAUGGUGCCCACAGUUGGAGGUUUUAGCCCAUCGUGCAGUUGGAUGGUUCAUAACGUAUUGCGGAUGGAACUCGACGAUGGAGGCAAUAAGAUUUGGUACGCCAGUGGUGGGAAUGCUGCAGUUUUGUGACCAGACUACAAAUGCACAUUUUGUGGGGCAUGUUUGGGGAGUGGGAGUUGUGACCAAGGUGGAUGAGUAAGGUGUUUCUGUUAAGGAAGAAAUCGAAAGAUGCAUCGGAGAAGUUAAGGGUGGAGAAAGGGGAAAACAGAUUAAGAAAAAUGCUAAUCAGUGGAAGUAGUUGGCUAAGGAGGCAGUGGAUCAAAAUGGAAGUUCAGAUCAAUACGUUGAUGAAAUUAUUGCUCGUCUUGCAGCUACUUGUUAAUGAUUGUGAAUUCCAAGUUGGAAGUUUCAAUGUUUUCUUCACUACGCUUAGAUGUUUUCUACGUGGCGGUUGUAAUUGCCUGUUAAGCAUUGCAGAUUUAAAAGCUGGCAGUCCUUAGUUUUAGUAAUAAUAAAAUGUGAUACAUUUUUACGGUUUAAAGAUGAAGUUUUACGCAAUGCACACGAAAUCUUGUUUUCGAGUAAAAUCCAUCGUAUUGUAUCCAUUGAUGGAUAUAUAAACUCAUUCUUUGAUGGAUAUAUAAACGCAUCAACGAAUGUUCACGUGCUAAUUAAGCAGUAUGAGAAAGCCAUUGCCAGCCAGUAUGAGAAGGAAGUGAAAGCAGAUUAUGACACAAUAAAUACUGCACCAAUCCUGAAAACGCCUUCUCCAAUGGAAAAAUAAGCAUCUGAUUUUUAUACGAGAAAGAUAUUCGUGAAAUUUCAAGAAGAAUUAGUUGAGACUCUGGCUAGUCCUGCAACUUUAAUUGAUGAUACAGGAUCUGAAAUUAUGUAUUGGGUGGCAAAAUUUGGGGAAGACCACAAGGGACACUUUAUUAGGUUCAACAUUUUUGAAAAGAAAGCUAGAUGUAGCUGCCAAAUGUUUGAGUUUUCAGGUAUUCUUUGCAGGCACAUACUAGCAGUUUUCAGAGUUACAAAUGUUCUUACACUCCCAUCACAUUAUCUCUUGAAACGAUGGACAAGAACUGCCAAAAGUGGGGUGGUAUUGCAUAACCACACUCUUGGAUUACCUUAUGAUUAUCAAGAAUCAUCUACUGCUCGUCGUGACAUUUUGUGCCGUGAAGCUAUCAAAUAUGUAGAAGAAGGGGCAAAGUCAGUAUGUUUGUAUAAUGUGGCAAUGGAAGCUCUACGUGAGGCCACAAAGAAGGUUGCUGCUGCAAAACAGAAUGGUCCAAGUGUGAUACAGAGCAAUCUAGCCAACAGAAGUGAUCAGGAAGUCAGCAAAGCAUUCUAGCCAAAAGGAGUGACCAGGAAGUGAGGAUAAGUGAAAAUGAAAUGGGCCAGCUUCGGUCUUGUUCAGUGAAUCAGGACCAGAAAAUUCAGGAAUUAACUGUUGAGUUGGAAAACACAAGUCAGAGAUGUGAAGCAUAUCGAGCAAAGCUAUUGGCUGUGUUGAACAUUAUGGAGGAACAGAAGUUGAAGAUAUCUGUGAAAGUACAGAAUGUGAGGCUUACUUUAAAAAGUUAGAGUUUGAAGAGAUAACAACCAUUCCAAUCCAUUGUGGACAAUACCCAUUGUAGAAGGGGAAGACCCAUGAUUUGUAUUGGCAGGGUUGAACUCACAUUGGCUUCGCAGUUUUAAUCUCUCGUUACAUACAUCGGCUGCUACUUAUGUUUGCUUAGCUUCUGAUGGAGGACAGUGAAGUGCUGGAGCUUUAUUCACUUUAGUGUUAUAGUAGAUGUAAACAUGUAACUGUAGAUUAGUUGAUGCAAGAGGUGCCAUGUUGCAAAAUUUUCCCUGAUUUUAGUGUGAAGAUGUUCUUCGGUGAUGUUAGUUUUUUCUGUGAGUUAAUAGAGUUACCUUUGGUUGCA
Molecule: long non-coding RNA, 2236 nt
Organism: Rhododendron vialii
Lineage: Eukaryota; Viridiplantae; Streptophyta; Magnoliopsida; Ericales; Ericaceae
Exons: 2
Source: RefSeq, a predicted model, not a curated record